GCUGUCGCAAAAUCGACAGCCGGGCGUGAGAACCCGAGUCACUCAACGGCGACACCAGACGCGCCUAGCGUCUUUUUU
This 78-nucleotide small RNA is filed under the name Pectobacterium versatile. RNAcentral's name for it is "IsrK Hfq binding RNA". It matches the Rfam family "isrK Hfq binding RNA". The record is from RNAcentral. Lineage: Bacteria; Pseudomonadati; Pseudomonadota; Gammaproteobacteria; Enterobacterales; Pectobacteriaceae.